AACGAACGCUGGCGGCAGGCCUAACACAUGCAAGUCGAGCGCCCCGCAAGGGGAGCGGCGGACGGGUGAGUAACGCGUGGGAACGUACCCUUUGCUACGGAAUAGCCUCGGGAAACUGGGAGUAAUACCGUAUGUGCCCUUCGGGGGAAAGAUUUAUCGGCAAAGGAUCGGCCCGCGUUGGAUUAGGUAGUUGGUGGGGUAAUGGCCUACCAAGCCGACGAUCCAUAGCUGGUUUGAGAGGAUGAUCAGCCACACUGGACUGAGACACGGCCCAGACUCCUACGGGAGGCAGCAGUGGGGAAUCUUAGACAAUGGGCGCAAGCCUGAUCUAGCCAUGCCGCGUGAGCGAUGAAGGCCUUAGGGUUGUAAAGCUCUUUCAGUGGGGAAGAUAAUGACUGUACCCACAGAAGAAGCCCCGGCUAACUCCGUG
Molecule: ribosomal RNA, 430 nt
Filed under: uncultured bacterium
Lineage: Bacteria
Description: bacterial SSU rRNA
Rfam family: Bacterial small subunit ribosomal RNA
Source: RNAcentral